AACGAACGCUGGCGGCAGGCUUAACACAUGCAAGUCGAACGAUGUAGCAAUACAUAGUGGCGCACGGGUGAGUAACGCGUGGGAAUAUACCUUAUAGUGGGGAAUAACUUUGGGAAACUAAAGCUAAUACCGCAUACGCCCGAGAGGGGAAAGAUUUAUCGCUAUAAGAUUAGCCCGCGUGAGAUUAGGUAGUUGGUGGGGUAAUGGCCUACCAAGCCUACGAUCUCUAGCUGGUCUGAGAGGAUGAUCAGCCACACUGGAACUGAGACACGGUCCAGACUCCUACGGGAGGCAGCAGUGGGGAAUAUUGGGCAAUGGACGAAAGUCUGACCCAGCCAUGCCGCGUGAAUGAUGAAGGCCUUAGGGUUGUAAAGUUCUUUCGCCGAUGAAGAUAAUGACGGUAGUCGGAGAAGAAGACCCGGCUAACUUCGUGCCAGCAGCCGCGGUAAU
This 450-nucleotide ribosomal RNA is filed under the name uncultured bacterium. RNAcentral describes it as "bacterial SSU rRNA". It matches the Rfam family "Bacterial small subunit ribosomal RNA", at positions 29 to 524 of the family's 1533-position model. The record is from RNAcentral.